This 2192-nucleotide long non-coding RNA is filed under the name Nicotiana benthamiana. Its description in RNAcentral is "long non-coding RNA (NBEN_LNC037522)". The record is from RNAcentral. Lineage: Eukaryota; Viridiplantae; Streptophyta; Magnoliopsida; Solanales; Solanaceae.
CGAACCUCGAUAUUACCCUUCCAACAUGCUCAAAUAAAAUUUGUUCGUACUCAUUAAUGAUCCCAACGAUCUCUUCUAAUCAAGCAUACCACUCUGGUUACAUGACACAUCAAUAGAGGCCUAAGCCACAACUACCAUAAUACGCACACCAACAAGCAACGGUCCGAACAUACUUACAUCAUGAAAUGACUCAAAUGAAAGAGAUGUAACUUAAGUUCACCGGUACCACCAAAACAAGGGUGAGAACCGGACUCACAUCAUAGAAUAGAACACAUGGACCUAUCUCGCAAGAUCAUAUCUCCACAUAUCUUCGUGAAAAUGCACGAUCCAAUCCUAACACUGCUCCACAUGAAACACCUCAAGGCACUAUGCUCGAAGGCGAAACUACGCACCAUUUGAUGUCUGGAACCAAAGCAAAUCAUUACACCCACGGCGAAACAAGUAACAUAUACCACGCAAACCCGAUAGGACAUAACUGAUACGCCAUUUACCAAGACAUACCCAAUUACUCUUCCCGUUCAACUAAGAACCCCAAUAAGAUCGCAUUAUAUGUGCCCAAAACCAACAAAUCAUAACGUCUCGCAACACGAAAAUGCCACUCAUAGAUCUCCCCAGAUCACUAACAAGCUCGGUAAACCUAUCCCUUAACAAUACAGUUCGGGGCCAACCAAACCAACUAAAGCUAGAACACUCAUCCACAUUGGCCUAACGACUAACGCCUUACCAAGGAAGCCUGAAGCUUCUCCUUCCACCUCUAUAACUCAUGCCGGAGCCAUACAAUAUGGUGCCCGACACCAAAUCAAUACCAAAAUCCACAACCUCUCCCAUAGAGAUGCCCAGCGACAAGAAACGCAUCCGAAAGUCCCUUAAUGCCGGAAUUGAACCAAUAGUAGAAACCUAUGUAUUGGCAUCCAUCACGAAGUCCCAAUUAAGAAAACUAGUCCUUCUCAGCCAUCUGUUGGGUCUUUAAAAUAUAAACCACUCUGCUAGAGCGUAAUCCGAAGCACUUCGCCACUCAACCCAUGGCAUUUACAGCAUAGCCCAUACCGUAAUAGUCCAGAAUAGUCCAACACUGAGAUGGCCAGUCUAAAUCCCCAACAUCACAUCCAAAAUCUAACAUACCAAGUCACAAACCCAAUUUCAAUAAUAGUAAAUGGACCCAAGCCAUAUUUUCAUGGAAAACUUCGCUAAUCAACAUGAUUAAUAAUAAAAUUACAACUUUAAACGAGCAUAUUCACGAUGCUAAAUUUAUCUGAGACUCAACAUAACACUGAUGCUACAACCAUUUUUACACAAUAAUCGUACUCCCAGCGAAUCCAUAACAGUCAACAUAAUUCCCAAAUAAGAAAUGUGCAUUUACUAGCAUGAAAUCCCACAAUACAAUUUUGCUUUGGACCCAAAAACAAAUCCAGUUCACAAAGUCAACUGGGCAGAAAAUAGACGGGCAGAAGAAUACACUAGACCCUUGGACCAAGUAUUCUCAAUUUAGUCCACAACUUAAAAAAAUAGCAGUUGAACAAAAACUAAUACAACGAGUCUGACUAAACUAAGAAAAAAAUAAAAAAUGGCAAUUAAACCCUACUAAACUAGAAUUAACACAUGCAAAUGAUUUUCAAGAAAACAGACGGAUAGAAGAAAAGAAGAUAACAAUGGAAGAAGAAAACCGACAAAAAUAACAACAGAAAAAGAAAAACACCUAAAGAAAUGCCUCGGAAAGAAAAAAUGGAGGCGAAUCCUCAAACCCUUCAAAUCUUUGGCUCAAUCUGAGAUUAAUCAUGUGUUUUUCAUUAAAACACAUGAAUAAAUUCAAAGGGAACCCAAUAUCUUCACAGAAAUCUUGGCUUAGCAAAUUUGGGAUUUUAGGGUUAGGCUUUGAUCUAAGAUUCGAGGAGUUUGGGCAAGAUUCGAGGGAAACUGGUCUCUGAUUUAAGAAGAGGGGGUCAUGGGGCUUAUGGUGAACGGAGGUGGCACCGCUGGCAGAUGGUGGUGGGAAAAGGAGCGGCGGGUUAGGAUUCUAACUCAGACUCCGAGACACAUGGGAAGUGAAGGAGGCGAGAUGGGGGUAAUGAGAUUCAGACAGUAAUAUACCCACCCCACCCCAGUUCAGGACCAUUUGAUCAGAUAAACCUUGACAACUCAUAUCAGAAAAUGACCAAACGAUGUCGUUUGGUUUAGUGGGAAAUCACCGAGCC